AAUGAACGCUGGCGGCAUGCCUAACACAUGCAAGUCGAACGAUCCCUUCGGGGGUAGUGGCGCCUGGUUUUGUAACGCGUGGGAACCUGCCCUUAUGUUCGGACUAACUCAGAGAAAUUUGUGCUAAUACCGGAUAAUGUCUUCGGACCAAAGAUUUAUUGCCUUUGGUUGGGCCCGCGUUGGAUUAGCUCGUUGGUAGGGUAAAGGCCUACCAAGGCGUCGAUUCAUAGCUGGUCUGAGAGGAAGAUCAGCCACUCUGGGACUGAGACACGGCCCAGACUCCUACGGGAGGCAGCAGUGGGGAAUAUUGGACAAUGGGCGAAAGCAUGAUGCAGCAAUGCUGCGAAAGUGAUGAAGGCCGGGAAGUUGUAAAGCACUUUUACCCGGGAUGAUAAUGACGGUACCGAAUGAGUAAGCCACGGCUAACUCCGUG
Molecule: ribosomal RNA, 433 nt
Filed under: uncultured bacterium
Lineage: Bacteria
Description: partial 16S ribosomal RNA
Rfam family: Bacterial small subunit ribosomal RNA
Source: RNAcentral